CAUGCCCCCAGCCCUUCUCCUUGGCCUCCUUUGGCCGAGUUGACAAUGUCCAUUCUCAAUGCCUUCCCACCCAGCGCUGAGCCCCACUGGGUGAAGGCAAUGCCUGUCAUGUUCACCACAAUAUCCCCUCCCCCAUCACCACACCUGGUCCACAGUGAUGCUCAAAAAAGAUCUGUUGGUAGGCAAUGGGAAAGUGCAUUCAUGUCAUCCUGCAGGCGGAAUUCUCCACGAGUUUUGAGCAGCCUCGGUUUUCCCACCCCCUCCAAAUCAUGGAAGAAACAGGGUAAGAGCAAAGACAAGGUGGCUGUGGCCUAUGUCUACCCUCUCGGGGCGUCCCUUGUCUUCUCUCCUCCUUGGGCAGGGAGACCAUCGGAGUGCAACCUGGCUGGGGCGGGGAGGAGGUGCAGGGCCUGGCCAGAGCGGGCCUGGCCACGGGCAAGGGACAGCGACCUCCUGGGCCAGGACAGGUGAGCGCGGCGCAGGCCCGGGCCCGGCGUGUCCGCGCUGCGCGGGAGAGGCCAGCAGAGGGCGCCAGAGAGCCAGGAGCGGCCCGCGGAGGAGCCCGCGCCCGCCCCGAUGCCCAGCUCCGCGCCUCGCGGACCCAGCAAGCUCGCGCUCAGACGCCCCAGCUCCGCCGAGAGGACGCUCGCCCCGGGUGCUUCUUUUUCCCCAAGUGCAGGCAGAGCCCCUGGAGCCAUGGCCAGCCCUUCCGGCAGCUCCGAAGCCACUGGCAAGCCCCGAGGCAGGGAUGGCCGGCCCAGGAGGGAGGAGGACGACGUCCCUCCUGAAGAGAAGAGGCUGCGGCUGUUGCUGGAGGGGGGAAGAGCACAGCCCGAGGACUGCGAGGACGGGGAGGACGCGCUGCGGCCGGGCAAGGAGGACACCGGCACCCAGACAGGUGGCGACGGCAGAGGAGCGGAAUUCUCCACGAGUUUUGAGCAGCCUCGGGUUUCCCACCACCUCCAAAUCAUGGAAGACACA
This 981-nucleotide long non-coding RNA is filed under the name Homo sapiens (human). RNAcentral's name for it is "non-protein coding lnc-FAM86B2-58:7". Lineage: Eukaryota; Metazoa; Chordata; Mammalia; Primates; Hominidae. The record is from RNAcentral.